UGUCCUACGGGACGCAGCAGUAGGGAAUCUUCCACAAUGGGCGCAAGCCUGAUGGAGCAACACCGCGUGAGUGAAGAAGGGUUUCGGCUCGUAAAGCUCUGUUGUUGGAGAAGAACGUGCGGGAGAGGAACUGUUCACGCAGUGAAGGGAUCCAACCAGAAAGUCACGGCUAACUACGUGCCAGCAGCCGCGGUAAUACGUAGGUGGCAAGCGUUAUCCGGAUUUAUUGGGCGUAAAGAGAGC
This 243-nucleotide ribosomal RNA is filed under the name uncultured bacterium. Its description in RNAcentral is "partial 16S ribosomal RNA". It matches the Rfam family "Bacterial small subunit ribosomal RNA", at positions 335 to 570 of the family's 1533-position model. The record is from RNAcentral.